UCUCUUGGCAUCCCUUGCAUAGGUUUCAAUUAACACCUAAAAUUGUCAUAUUGUUAAUUUUCAAUCGUUAUUCAAGCUUAAUUAAUCAUAAAGACUUAAAUGAACUAAGACUUCAUUAAGAUGAAAUUUAAACCCGAUAAUUAUAAAAAUUAAGCAACAUACUACUUAAACUAAAUUAAAUUCCUAACACUAAUUAAAAUGCAAUUAGUACUAAAUUUAAAAACUCGUGGGUUGCCUCCUAUUAGUGCUUAUUUUAGAGUCAUCAGCUUGACUUCUUCAAUUCUGCUACUCGAGCUUGGUUGAGAUGUUUGGAAUAUGUCGUCGAUUGUAAAUUGUGUUGCAACGUCACCAUGCACUUUCUUCUCUUGAUCUACACCCUCUUCUGCCAGAUAAUGUUCUUCAAUUUUAUUCGAAAACCUGAUAGUAUUGAACACAUUAUUGUAAGUUCUCCAUUCCGCACAUCAAUCAAUGUUCGACCUGUAGCUAAGAACGGACGUCCCGAAAUGAGUGAAACCUCUUGAUCUUCCUCACUGUCAAGUAUCACAAAAUCGAUUAGAAACAUGAACCUGUCAACUUUCAUUAGCACAUCCUCGAUUUCUCCCUUGGGAUACAUGAUUGACCUAUCUGCCAGUUACAAUGUGAUGUUCAUCAGUUUGAUGUUCAUCAGUUUUAUUCCUUUUAGACCGAGCUUCACAUAUAUAGACAAUGGCAUGAGAUUGAUGCUUGCACUGAGGUCGCAUAAAGCUUUCUCUACGAAUUGUGUCCUUAUAGUGCACGAUAUUGUGAAACUUUCAGGAUCCUGCAGCUUCGUUGACAUUUUCUUUUGAAUAAUAGAACUCUGCAUUUCUUCGUUAGAGCUACCAUCUCACACUCGCCUAUCCUUUGCUUCUUUGAAAGACUUUCUUUCAUGACUCGGCAUUUGUUCUAAAGCUCCAACAAAAAGUAUGUUAAUAUGCAGUUUUUUAAAAACAUCCAAAAAUGGGUGAUCAAGCUUUUGACUUUUCACACAUUGUGAAUAUGGCACAUGAGGCUUCUUUAUGUUUUUGCUUGCCUCCAUUAUUGUUCAAAUCUAAUUAUUUUAAGUCAAUUUAAAAUACAAACAAACUCAUAAACAAUAUUCUUCUCACUUUUAAUAUUUAUAUGAAUAUCAAAUUUUAUACUAUAUUUUUAUUUUUAUAUUUUAAGAAUUUAUAUACAGUGCAAUAAAAAAAUUCAAUGAGGAAUUUAGGCCCCCAUUAUUCUGUUAAAUUGUUGAUGAUGUUAGUGUUAACUUGUCUUCAUUAAUGGUGUGCUGUACUAUUUUUAGAUGAGGACGGAAGCUUUCAUGAGAUACAGAUAUGCAUGGGGCCCCACUUAUAUUUAUCAGUGUCCUAUUAAAUAUCCUUCUCCCAAUUCAAUCCUAACCCCAUGCACUUGGACUUGUCAAUGACAAAGAUUAGACAGGUGUUUUAUCCCAUACAUGUUUGUCCACCAUAAAAACCAAACACUUCACAUUUCCAAUACUUCCAAUAAAGUUUAAUCGAGAUUCAUUUAGACACCAAAUAUAACACAAUGUUAAAUUGAG
RNAcentral lists this long non-coding RNA (1564 nucleotides) under Panax ginseng (ginseng). RNAcentral describes it as "long non-coding RNA (PGIN_LNC016978)". Lineage: Eukaryota; Viridiplantae; Streptophyta; Magnoliopsida; Apiales; Araliaceae. The record is from RNAcentral.